AACGUAGGUACCGAGCGUUAUCCGGAUUUACUGGGCGUAAAGCGCGUUCAGGCGGUUUGGCAAGUCGGGCAUGAAAUCUCUCGGCUCAACCGGGAGAGGUUGUCCGAUACUUCCAGACUUGAGGGCAGUAGAGGGUGGUGGAAUUCCGGGUGUAGUGGUGAAAUGCGUAGAUAUCCGGAGGAACACCAGUGGCGAAAGCGGCCACCUGGACCAUUACUGACGCUGAGGCACGAAAGCUAGGGGAGCAAACAGG
This 253-nucleotide ribosomal RNA is filed under the name uncultured bacterium. RNAcentral's name for it is "partial 16S ribosomal RNA". It matches the Rfam family "Bacterial small subunit ribosomal RNA", at positions 524 to 776 of the family's 1533-position model. The record is from RNAcentral.